RNAcentral lists this ribosomal RNA (676 nucleotides) under Citrobacter freundii. Its description in RNAcentral is "bacterial SSU rRNA". It matches the Rfam family "Bacterial small subunit ribosomal RNA", at positions 58 to 724 of the family's 1533-position model. The record is from RNAcentral. Lineage: Bacteria; Pseudomonadati; Pseudomonadota; Gammaproteobacteria; Enterobacterales; Enterobacteriaceae.
CAAGUNGAACGUUAGCACAGAGGAGCUUGCAUUAAGGGUGUCGAGUGGCGGACGGGUGAGUAAUGUCUGGGAAACUGCCCGAUGGAGGGGGAUAACUACUGGAAACGGUAGCUAAUACCGCAUAACGUCGCAAGACCAAAGAGGGGGACCUUCGGGCCUCUUGCCAUCGGGAGAGCCCAGAUGGGAUUAGCUAGUAGGUGGGGUAACGGCUCACCUAGGCGACGAUCCCUAGCUGGUCUGAGAGGAUGACCACCACACUGGAACUGAGACACGGUCCAGACUCCUACGGGAGGCAGCAGUGGGGAAUAUUGCACAAUGGUCGCGAACCAGAUGCAGCCAUGCCGCGUGUAUGAAGAAGGCCUUCGGGUUGUAAAGUACUUUCAGCGAGGAGGAAGGUAUUAUGGUUAAUAACCGCAGUAAUUGACGUUACUCGCAGAAGAAGCACCGGCUAACUCCGUGCCAGCAGCCGCGGUAAUACGGAGGGUACAAGCGUUAAUCGGAAUUACUGGGCGUAAAGCGCUNGCAGGCGGUCUGUCAAGUAGGAUAUGAAAUCCCCGGGCUCAACCUGGGAACUGCAUCCGANACUGGCAGGCAUGAGUCUUGUAGAGGGGGGUAGAAUUCCAGGUGUAGCGGUNAAAUGCGUAGAGAUCUGGAGGAAUACCGGUGGCGAAGGCGG